Molecule: ribosomal RNA, 400 nt
Filed under: uncultured bacterium
Lineage: Bacteria
Description: bacterial SSU rRNA
Rfam family: Bacterial small subunit ribosomal RNA
Source: RNAcentral
UCGAGAAUCUUUCGCAAUGGGCGAAAGCCUGACGAAGCGACGCUGUGUGAGUGAUGAAGGCCUUCGGGUUGUAAAGCUCUUUCGCCAGGGAACAAGGGAGGAAAAUUAAUACUUUUCUAACUUGAGGGUACCUGGUAAAGAAGUACCGGCUAACCACGUGCCAGCAGCUGCGGUAAUACGUGGGGUACAAGCAUUAAUCGGAUUUACUGGGCGUAAAGGGUGCGUAGGCGGAUAGGCAAGUCAGACGUGAAAUUCCGGUACUCAAUACCGGAGCUGCGUUUGAAACUAUCUUUCUAGAGGUCAGGCGGAGGAAACGGAAUUCCAUGUGUAGCGGUGAAAUGCGUAGAUAUAUGGAAGAACACCUGUGGCGAAAGCGGUUUCCUAGCUUGAUUCUGACGCU